RNAcentral lists this ribosomal RNA (428 nucleotides) under Proasellus sp. Sospel. RNAcentral describes it as "partial 16S ribosomal RNA". It matches the Rfam family "Bacterial large subunit ribosomal RNA", at positions 1833 to 2548 of the family's 2925-position model. The record is from RNAcentral. Lineage: Eukaryota; Metazoa; Arthropoda; Malacostraca; Isopoda; Asellidae.
CUCUUGUGAUAAUCUCAAGUAAUCCCUGCCCUAUGAGUAGUUUAAAUGGCCGCAGUAUUCUGACUGUGCAAAGGUAGCAUAAUCACUUGCUUCUUAAUUAGACGCUAGAAUGAAAGGGGCGACGAAAUCUAGGCUAUCAAAAUUUUAAAAUAAAUUGACAACCAGGUCAAAAGGCCUGAAUGCAGCAGGGGGACGACAAGACCCUAUAAAACUUUACCUUUUGCCCAGUAGCGGGCAGGGCGCUGUCUGGCGUAAUGGUUUUACUGGGGCGGUAUGCGUAAAAACAACUUUAAGUUUAAUAUACUAAAUAAAGCAUAAUAACUCUUAUAGAAAUAGAAUAAGUUACUUUAGGGAUAACAGCGUAAUUGCCCCCGAGAGUUCUUAUUGGCGGGGUAGUUUACGACCUCGAUGUUGAAUUGGGACACCUU